Molecule: non-coding RNA, 93 nt
Organism: Mycena alexandri
Lineage: Eukaryota; Fungi; Basidiomycota; Agaricomycetes; Agaricales; Mycenaceae
Source: the annotation of a GenBank genome assembly
GACCUGGUGGCACAACGGUUAGUGUGUCUGCUCAAUGUGGUCUAAAAAUCUUGCCGUAUGCAGAAGGUCCCGGUUCGAAUCCGGGUCAGGUCA